This 253-nucleotide ribosomal RNA is filed under the name uncultured bacterium. RNAcentral describes it as "partial 16S ribosomal RNA". It matches the Rfam family "Bacterial small subunit ribosomal RNA", at positions 524 to 776 of the family's 1533-position model. The record is from RNAcentral.
UACGGAGGGUGCAAGCGUUAUCCGGAUUCACUGGGCUUAAAGGGUGCGUAGGCGGACAUGUAAGUCCGUGGUGAAAUCUCUAAGCUUAACUUGGAAACUGCCAUGGAUACUAUAUGUCUUGAAUGUUGUGGAGGUUAGCGGAAUAUGUCAUGUAGCGGUGAAAUGCAUAGAUAUGACAUAGAACACCAAUUGCGAAGGCAGCUGGCUACACAAAUAUUGACGCUGAGGCACGAAAGCGUGGGGAUCAAACAGG